UCUUUUUAAAAAUCGAUUACUGGUAAGUAACAUUAAAACUGAUAGCUAAAAUUUAAAUUUUCGUUUUAUUUUAUAAAUAAAAUUAGUCCAUAAUUUUUGAUACAAUAUUUUUUAACUCAAAAAUCAUCAGAAGAAAAGAAUUAAAAAUUUUCCUAUAGUACAAACAAUAAAUUAGAUCCAAUUUUCUAUUUGAAACCACCUUCAAGCUGAAAAUCGAAGACGUCAUUAAGUUAAAGUUAUAUGUAAAAAUGUGUCCUGUAUUAGUCAAUUUUGAAAAUCUGCAGAGGACCUUAAUAUAACCAUAUGUCAAUAUUUGCACUGUUAUACACUCUUAAAUUUAGAAAAUGUUCUCCUCGUGGAUUUUUGGACAAUCUCCACACAUUCUCAUCAAAUACUGUUAUGGCAUCAGCCCAUUUUGUUGAUUUAAAUAAGAAUACUCAAUAUAAUAAUUUGCCGUUACCGUUUUUUUACUACUACAUUACCAAAAAUCU
This is a long non-coding RNA of Aphis gossypii (cotton aphid), 491 nucleotides long. RefSeq lists it as uncharacterized. NCBI's taxonomy places the organism in Eukaryota, Metazoa, Arthropoda, Insecta, Hemiptera, Aphididae. The transcript has 4 exons. The record is from RefSeq and is a predicted model, not a curated record.